RNAcentral lists this ribosomal RNA (592 nucleotides) under Polycope yasuharai. Its description in RNAcentral is "eukaryotic LSU rRNA". It matches the Rfam family "Eukaryotic large subunit ribosomal RNA", at positions 716 to 1223 of the family's 3401-position model. Lineage: Eukaryota; Metazoa; Arthropoda; Ostracoda; Halocyprida; Polycopidae. The record is from RNAcentral.
GCGAAAGCAAAGUCGACCGUACGGUUGACGUUGGAGGAUCUCGUCGGUUAAUUUGGGGGGCCUCGUUCUCGUCGAAUGAUCGCGGGCGCACUCUGGAGGUGUCCUGACAACCUGGUACCUGUAGGGCUUGCUCUGCGGGCGUCGGGUGGGAUGCACUGAGAGCAUAUGUGCUGGGACCCGAAAGAUGGUGAACUAUGCCUGUCCAGGUUGAAGCCAGGGGAAACCCUGGUGGAAGACCGCAGCGGUUCUGACGUGCAAAUCGAUCGUCGGAGGUGGGCAUAGGGGCGAAAGACCAAUCGAACCAUCUAGUAGCUGGUUCCCACCGAAGUUUCCCUCAGGAUAGCUGGUGCUCGAGCGAGACGGGAGUCUCAUCUGGUAAAGUGAAUGAUCAGGGGUCUUGGGGUUGAAACGACCUCAACCUAUUCUCAAACUAUAAAUUGGUGAGAACUCGGGCUUUUUUGAACAAAGCUCGUAGUAUGGAUCCACGAGUGCUAAGUGGGCCCGUCCUGGUAAGCAGGACUGGCGCUGUGGGAUGAACCAAACGCCGGGCUAAGGCGGACAAAUCUAUGCUGAUCAGACACCAGAAAAGGCG